AACAGCAACAAAAUCAGCAACAUCCAAGGCACCCAGUGAGACCCGGAUCAUAUCACACUUUCGUUGUAAAACCACUGUGUGUCAUUGGUCAGGUCCCUCCCCUCUCUGGUCCUAAACUGCUUAGUAAUGAUGCUGAAAUCGAACCUUAUGAAACUCAUUCUUGAGAUGUGCCCUAAGCCUGGGUCAUCUCACUGAACAUGUACAAUGGUCUUUCCAGGAUCUGCAACAGCCCAGGACUCAAAGAAAUCAAGUAGCUUGUGCCUCGGCAGUUGGAACUCACACGCAGAGGUCCAGCCUUCGUUCCUAGCUCCAGCGUUCCUCCCAGAGCCAAUAUUCUCUGGAUGGGUUUCAAUGUGGAUAGCCACCAAGAGUUGCCCUGCCAUUGGCUGAUGGGGCACCCUUGACUCUGUCCACCCGCACCUCCAGGAGCUGAAGCUCAUUGAGGAAGGUGAAGCCAGCCCCGUCUCCACCCCUCACUCCUGAGAACCAACCAGUCCUGGGAUAAUUAAUGGUGUCCAAUGCAGACCUCCUUCCCUCACUGGUUCCUCAUAGCAGCCCUGAUGCUCUCAAUCAGUGUUUUCCAGAAAAUGAUGCUCUGAGGGGUGAAAAGACUCGGCCUAGGCUGCAUAUCUGCGUGUAAAUCAUGUGCCCACAAACUGUAUCAUGAUAUCCACGGAGAGCCUACAGUGGGACCUCUGGGCUUCGAUGAGAACGUUUGGUAGAGUCGCCUCAGGCUGCCCACAUGGCUUUGCCUCUGAUUACAUUCUCAUUCGUCUGUGCAAGGAAGACGGCUUGGCUUCAAGUAAAAGCUCUCGACCUUUGGAGUUUUGGGAUGCCUCCUCAGCCUUCCGCUCUGAGUCUACCUCCCAAGGCACCCAGUGGGAGCUGCCUCACCAAGCACCCCUGGCAUCAGUAAGGCUAGCGUCCCUGACAUAGACUGAAAGAUUUGCCAUUUGUCGCUGUUUGGAGAGGCUGAUGGCGCCCUUCGUGGGCGGUAGAUCACACACAUCAGAGGUUUGAAUCAAAUCAAACUGCAACUGAAUUACACUAAUAAACCAAUUAAAUGCCAUUCAAAAAGUAA
Peromyscus eremicus (cactus mouse) is the source of this 1081-nucleotide long non-coding RNA. RefSeq lists it as uncharacterized. NCBI's taxonomy places the organism in Eukaryota, Metazoa, Chordata, Mammalia, Rodentia, Cricetidae. The transcript has 3 exons. The record is from RefSeq and is a predicted model, not a curated record.